CGGCUCGUGGCGCAAUUGGCAGACGCGGCACGUUCAGACCGUGCAGAUCGGGGUUCGAAUCCCCGCGAGCCGACCA
Molecule: transfer RNA, 76 nt
Filed under: Acidobacteriota bacterium
Lineage: Bacteria; Pseudomonadati; Acidobacteriota
Also listed under: 2 other names
Description: Acidobacteria bacterium tRNA-Leu
Rfam family: tRNA
About the family: Transfer RNA (tRNA) molecules are approximately 80 nucleotides in length. Their secondary structure includes four short double-helical elements and three loops (D, anti-codon, and T loops).
Source: RNAcentral